GGGGAAAGGAGUCACGGCCCGGCCAUGGCGGACGACAAGAAACUGGACAACCAAUGGCUCAAGAAUUUCAAGAACAAAGGCCCUGGCUUGGAGACAAUGAGAAGACAAUGGAAUGAAGUUGUAGUUGAAUUAAGGAAGAAUAAAAGAGAUGAACGUCUCUUAAAGAGGAGGAAUGUACCACAUGAAGAGAUCUGCGAAGACUCUGAUACAGAUGGUGAUUAUAGAGUGCAAAAUACCUCUCUAGAAGCUAUUGUACAAAAUGCUUCAAGUGAUAACCAAGGGAUUCAAUUAAGUGCAGUUCAAGCUGCUAGGAAGCUUUUUUCCAGUGAUCGAAAUCCACCAAUUGAUGACUUAAUAAAAUCUGGAAUAUUGCCUAUUUUAGUCUAUUGUCUUGAAAGAGAUGACAAUCCUUCUUUACAAUUCAAGGCUGCAUGGGCUUUGACAAACAUUGCAUCUGGAACCUCAGAACAAACUCAAGCAGUAGUUCAAUCCAGUGCUGUGCCACUUUUCCUGAGGCUUCUUCAUUCACUCCCUCAGAAUGUCUGUGAGCAAGCAGUGUGGGCAUUGGAAAAUAUCAUAGGUGAUGGGCCCCAAUAUAGAGAUUAUGUCAUAAGUCUUGGAGUUGUGAAACCCUUACUUUUCUUCAUAAGUCCUUCUAUUCCUAUAACAUUUUUAAGAAAUGUUACUUGGGUUAUGGUCAACUUAUGUCACCACAAAGACCCACUACCAACAAUGGAAACCAUUCAGGAGAUUCUUCCAGCCCUUUGUGUUUUAAUUCAUCACAUAGACAUAAAUAUAUUGGUAGAAACAGUCUGGGCCCUGUCUUACCUUACUGAUGCUGGCAAUGAACAAAUAUAAAUGGUAAGAGAUUCUGGAAUAGUUCCCGAUUUGGUUCCUCUGCUCAGUCACCAAGAAGUUAAAGUUCAGACUGCUGCACUUAGAGCUGUGGGCAACAUUGUUACUGGAACCGAUGAGCAAGCACAAGUAGUUUUGAACCAUGAUGCUCUUUCACACUUCUCAGCACUCCUGACACAUCCCAAAGAGAAAAUUAAUAAAGGAGCUGUAUGGUUCCUCUCUAACAUCACUGCAGGAAAUCAGCAGCAGGUUCAGGCAGUAAUGAUGCCAAUCUGGUACCAAUGAUAAUACACCUUUUGGAUAAGGGGGAUUUUGGCACUAAGAAAGAAGCUGCUUGGGCUGUAAGUAACUUAACAAUUAGUGGAAGGAAAGAUCAAGUGGCCUACCUUAUUCAACAAAAUGUUAUCCCACCUUUUUGCAACUUGCUGACUGUAAAAGAUGCACAAGUUGUGCAAGUAGUACUUGGUGGAUUAAGUAAUAUAUUAAAAAUGGCUGAAGAUGGGGCAGAAACCAUAGCUAACCUUAGAGAAGAAUGUGGUGGUCUGCAGAAAAUUUGAACAGCUUCAAAAUCAUGAAAAUGAAGACAUCUACAAAUGGGCCUAUGAGAUCAUUGACCAGUUCUUCCCUUCAGAUGAUAUUGAUGAAGAUCCCAGCCUUGGUCCAGAGGCAAUUCAAGGUGGAACAUUUGGUUUCAAUUCAUCUGCCAAUGUACCAACAGAAGGGUUCCAGUUUUAGAAAGAUGUUGUGGAAGUUAGGUACA
RNA transcript from Nycticebus coucang (slow loris), 1615 nucleotides. It is a transcript of the gene named importin subunit alpha-3-like, with no coding region annotated. The transcript has a single exon. Lineage: Eukaryota; Metazoa; Chordata; Mammalia; Primates; Lorisidae. The record is from RefSeq and is a predicted model, not a curated record.